AGAAAACCUCAUUGGCCCCAUUAAAUGACCGGUGUGUGGCCAGUGCUUGAUAAUACAUUUUAUAGCUUUCUGCCUGGUGUAAAUUUAGCCAUGGCAAUGGUUCUUAGAACCAGAAAGAAAACCUCAGCGGCUGCUUUAAAUGACCACUGUGUGGUCAGUGCUUGGUAAUAGAGUUUACAGAUUUCUGCCUGGUGUAACUUUAGCCAUGGCAGUGGUUCUUAGAACCAGAAAGAAAACCUCAAUGGCCCUUUUUAAUACUAGAUGUGGCUGUUGACCUAUAGAAUAUGUUAUAAUUUUUGAGUCUUUGAGAUUGAGGGGAGGAACAAUUACACACCUGCUGCCAAAGUUUCCACGAAAGAGAGAAGACUUGCUGGCAAGGCAGAAGAAGAAACAAAAGAGAAAGGAGAAAAUGUUUUCAGCUCAAGCCCUAUUAGCCUUCAGCUGUGAUGUUUCCUCCUAUGCUGUGAGCCAUGAAUCCAAAUUGACCUGUAGACGAAGAAGAAGACAUCAACAGUAAGACAGAUGGUUUAAUUCUUAUAACCGAAAGGAAAUGUGAUGGUGCAAUUUAAUAUGACGAAUACCAACAAAGGAGAAUAUUUGGGGCUCACGGUUCAAAUGAGGCGUCCUUGGUGCUCUCUGAGCUUGGUGGUUUUCUUGUACAUGUUUUAUUACUCAACUAGGGAAUAUCAGUGCUAGUAGAACGGAGUGUGGUUUGCUGUCAGUUUAUGUUUGAGUGGCUUCUCUCAGUGUUGUUGAAAAUGAUCUUGGAAGUCCUUUGUUGUGCUAUUUGUUGUUAGCUUCUUUGACCGUUCCUUGAUUGCGGUAUUGUUUUCUUGCCAUAGCGAUGGUUCUUAGACCCAGAAAGCAAACCUCAAUGGCCCUUUUUAAUGUUAGCUGUGGCUGUUGAUCUAUAAAAGAGGGUAGGAGUUUUUCUAGCUUUGCAGACUGAGCGGAGGAAGAAUUGCACCUGCGGUCAAAACUUCUUCGAAAGACACAACGCUUACUGAGGAAGAAACAAAAGCAAAAGAAGAAAGAAAAGACAGAGAGCAAGAAAAUGUCUCCAGCUCAAGCCCUGUUAGCCUUCGGAUGUGAUGUGGCCUCCUACGCUGUGAGGGCAUGUAUUCUACACCACCUUAGAAGACAGAAGAUUCAGUUGUCAGCCUGCAGCGUGGAAGGAAGAAGGAGGAAUGGAACACAAGAAUGAAUAUGAUCUCCAUCAAGAAUGCUACUUCACCAAGUCAAUUACAGCUGACCAUUAGAUAAUAGAUUUCAACGAUUCUUGCCUGCUGUAAAUUCAGCCAUGGCGAUGGUUAUUAGAACCAAAAAAACUACUUCAAUGGCCAUUUUUAAUCCUAGGCAUGGCUGUUGAUAGAUUAUAGAUUGUAUAGUUUUCUGCCUGGUGUAAAUUUAGCCAUGGCAGUGGUUCUUACAACCAGAAUGAAAACCUUACUGGCCCUAUUAAAUGACAGUGUGUGGCCAGUGCUUGGUAAUAGAUUUUAUAGCUUUAUGCCUGGUAUAAAUUUAGCCAUGGCAAUGGUUCCUAGAACCAGAAAGAAAACCUCAUUGGCCCCUUUAAAUGACCAGUGUAUGGCCAGUGAUUGAUGAAAGAUUUUAUAGAUUUCUGCCUGGUAUAAAUUUAGCCAUGGCAAUGGUUCCUAGAACCAGAAAGAAAACCUCAUUGGCCCUUUUUAUUGCUAGAUGUGGCCGUUGAUUUGUAGAACAUUUUAUAGUUUUUGAGUCUUUGAGAUUGAAAGGAGGAACAAUUGCACACCUGCUGCCAAGGUUUCCACGAAAGAGAGAAGACUUGCUGGGCAUGGCAGAAGAAGAAAAAAAAAGCAAAAGAAGAAACAAAAGAGCAAGAAAAUGUCUCUAGCUCAAGCCCUGUUAGCCUUCGGCUGUGAUGUUGCUCCUACGCUGUAAGGCAUUUACUUCACACCACCUUAGAAAACAGAAGACUCAGUUGUCAGCCUGCGGUUUUGAUGGAAGAAGGAAUGGAACUCAAGAAUGAAUAUGAUCUCCAUCAAGAAUGCUACUUCACCAAGAAUCACAGCUGACCAUUAGAUAAUAGAUUUAAACCAUUCUUGCCUGCUGUAAAUUGAGCCAUGGCGAUGGUUAUUAGAACCAAAAAACCCACUUCAAUGGCCAUUUUUAAUUCUAGGCAUGGCUGUUGAUGGAUUAUAGAUUGUAUAGUUUUCUGCCUGGUGUAAAUUUAGCCAUGGUAGUGGUUCUUAGAACCAGAAAGAAAACCUCAACAGCCCUUUUAAAUGACCACUGUGUGGCCAAUGCUUGGUAAUAGGUUUUAUAGUCUUCUGCCUGGCGUAAAUUUAGCCAUGGCGAUGGUUCUUAGAACCAGAAAGAAAACCUCAUUGGCCCCAUUAAAUGACCAGUGUGUGGCCAGUGCUUGGUAAUAGAUUUUACAGCUUUCUCCCUGCUGUAAAUUUAGCCGUGGCAAUGGUUAUUAGAACCAAAAAACCCUCCUCAAUGGCCAUUUUUAAUUCUAGGCAUGGCUGUUGAUGGAUUAUAGAUUUUAUAGUUUUCUGCCUGGUAUAAAUUCAGCCAUGGCAAUGGUUCCUACAACCAGAAAGAAA
This is a long non-coding RNA of Crotalus tigris (Tiger rattlesnake), 2588 nucleotides long. RefSeq lists it as uncharacterized. The transcript has 4 exons. NCBI's taxonomy places the organism in Eukaryota, Metazoa, Chordata, Lepidosauria, Squamata, Viperidae. The record is from RefSeq and is a predicted model, not a curated record.